This 79-nucleotide transfer RNA is filed under the name Sclerotinia borealis F-4128. It matches the Rfam family "tRNA". From Rfam's summary of the family: Transfer RNA (tRNA) molecules are approximately 80 nucleotides in length. Their secondary structure includes four short double-helical elements and three loops (D, anti-codon, and T loops). Lineage: Eukaryota; Fungi; Ascomycota; Leotiomycetes; Helotiales; Sclerotiniaceae. The record is from Rfam by way of RNAcentral.
GCCCGUUUGGCUUAGCGGUAAAGCGCAUCACUAGUACUUGUACAUGAUGAGAUCCUAGGUUCGAUUCCUAGAAUGGGCA